This 1972-nucleotide long non-coding RNA is filed under the name Lynx pardinus (Iberian lynx). Lineage: Eukaryota; Metazoa; Chordata; Mammalia; Carnivora; Felidae. The record is from RNAcentral.
AGAAAAUAAGGAAAUAUAAAAACGAUAAAAAGAAAUCACUUGUAUUUCCCAUUCCCUCAAGAUAAUAAAUGUUAGUAUUUUGGUGUUUUUCCUUCCCCUAUUUUUCUUUGGGAACACAGUUGCAAUCAUAACAUAUAUACAGUCUGUGAUCUGCUUUUGUUUUACUUGCUACAGAACUACUUUUCAUAUUAAUAAAAAAAUUAAUAUCCAUUAAGUAUAUUUAUCAUAAUAUGAUUAAAUUAGCCCUCAGGUAAGUAUUUAGACUUUGACCAGUGUUUAUUUUGUUCAUCUGCACAGUCUCCUAAAACAGUGCCUAAAAAAUGUCCAACAUUCAGCAGGAGAAUGUGGAAAUCUCAAGAGGGAUCUAGAUCUCUGGCUCAAAAGUGAAAUCACCUGUGAGGACUCAGGAAUCUAUGCAGCACCUCUUUAUAGGCAGAUGAGGUGGAAAGCUCAGCAGACUUGUGCGGUCCCUGGGGCCUGGGAAUCGUAAGCUGGCACACCUGGCCGACCCAGGAGGCCGCUCCUGGGCCUGCUUCAUUUUUCUUGGCCUGCAACAGCCACCGUGGCUGACAGCACACAGCGGACCCGAGCAGGCUGACCAGGGGCUCAGCCUUUGCCUGGCACCUAAUACAGUGGGACCCGACAGGCUCGAAUGCUGGUUGGAUGAGCCUGAGCCAAAAACACCAGAACAGAGGCGAUGUGAGGCAGCUCGGGAACCACUGCCAAACCACACCAUUCAAGAGGAAACGCAAGACAGUGCUGGGAUGGAUACUUUUAAAUGCAGGGGCUGGCUGCUCCCUGAGAAAGUAGAGCGAGGUAGGGCGGGGAUACAGAGUGACGCGGGAGAAACAUUUCAGCGGCCUACAGGAACAAAUGGGAGCCCUGUGUCUGGGGUGUUCUCUACUCCCAGAGUGAAAACAUACCAGCUUAUUAACUUCCUCAAUUGGUCGAGUGGCCACCGCAGCCCAGCCCCCUGGGCCGAUGCAGUAGACUCCAGCUGUCUAAUCCUCUGCUCGUUCCUGUUUGAGACACAGUCUGUGCACUCCUGGCCAAAGCCCAGCAGGGUGAGAAUCACUGAAGGGGCCUUCCACCUCCAGGCCAGACUCGACAGGGCUCCCCAGCCCUCUUGCUGCAAACAUAAUGGCUUCUGUACUUGCCAGCCUCGUGCUGCAGCAUAAAUCCUCAGCUUUUGUCUGUGUUUAAUCACCACCCUGGGAAGUGCUAUCGAAGUGCAACUGUUUCUGGCUAGGAGUGCAGCUCCCAGGCCCUGCCGCUGCCCACCCAAGAUCAAAGUGCCUAACACAGGAUUCUUAGGGUAAUGCUGGCCGUCUGUGUUAAAUGGCCACUGAAAGCAUGGGGUCACGCAAGCUGGGAACCCCCAAUCACACACUGACCACGGAGCCGGCUCUGACACAUAGGGCAGCCUUAAGUUCCCUGGGGACUGAAUUCAUACACCCUUUCAGCUACUACCCAAUUGUGUCUCGCUAAAGCUAUUUUUAAAGUAUCUAGAAGGAAGGAUGGAAGGAAAGCAGAUGGGCCUCUCACCUGUCCAGGGGUUUCCAGGGUCAGAGUGUGGAGGAAAGGCCUGUUGAAGGGAGAAGGUAGGGAGGGGGCCGGGACAGGAACAGAAAGGGGUGUCCCCUCUGCUCAAAGGCAAGAACUGUGAAAGGUCAUUCUUCUAGAAAGGCACAAACAUCAGCCCAAGCCCUGAAAAGAAGUAGGGCACAGUAAAAUGCACAUAGAACUGAAGCACUCACUAAAAGGGAGAAAAAGACAUCACAUCAUUUGUAACAGUUUUACUGCAUUACAUAUAACAUUUUCUGCAUUAAAAGGCGUUGGUGAUUUCUCUUUAAAGCAGAUCCCAAAGUAGACAAGAAGAGACGGGUUAAGUGGCACACCUACAUGUUAAAAUUCAAUGUCCAUUGCUAUGGAAUCAUAACCUGGCUUGGUUCCACUAGAAAUGCUAACCGGA